This 460-nucleotide ribosomal RNA is filed under the name uncultured bacterium. RNAcentral's name for it is "partial 16S ribosomal RNA". It matches the Rfam family "Bacterial small subunit ribosomal RNA", at positions 338 to 795 of the family's 1533-position model. The record is from RNAcentral.
CCUACGGGAGGCAGCAGUGAGGAAUAUUGGUCAAUGGACGAGAGUCUGAACCAGCCAAGUAGCGUGAAGGAUGACUGCCCUAUGGGUUGUAAACUUCUUUUAUAAAGGAAUAAAACGAGGCACGUGUGCCUUUUUGCAUGUACUUUAUGAAUAAGGAUCGGCUAACCCCGUGCCAGCAGCCGCGGUAAUACGGAGGAUCCGAGCGUUAUCCGGAUUUAGUGGGUUUAAAGGGAGCGUAGAUGGGUUGUUAAGUCAGUUGUGAAAGUUUGCGGCUCAACCGUAAAAUUGCAAUUGAUACUGGCAGUCUUGAUUACAGUUGAGGUAGGCGGAAUUCGUGGUGUAGCGGUGAAAUGCUUAGAUAUCACGAAGAACCCCGAUUGCGAAGGCAGCUUACUAAACUGUGACUGACAUUGAUGCUCGAAAGUGUGGGUAUCAAACAGGAUUAGAUACCCGGGUAGUC